GAUGAACGCUGGCGGUGUGCCUAAUACAUGCAAGUCGAGCGAACAGACGAGGAGCUUACUCCUCUGACGUUAGCGGCGGACGGGUGGGUAACACGUGGAUAACCUACCUAUAAGACUGGGAUAACUUCGGGAAACCGGAGCUAAUACCGGAUAACAUGUUGAACCGCAUGGUUCAACAGUGAAAGACGGUCUUGCUGUCACUUAUAGAUGGAUCCGCGUCGCAUUAGCUAGUUGGUAAGGUAACGGCUUACCAAGGCAACGAUGCGUAGCCGACCUGAGAGGGUGAUCGGCCACACUGGAACUGAGACACGGUCCAGACUCCUACGGGAGGCAGCAGUAGGGGAUCUUCCGCAAUGGGCGAAAGCCUGACGGAGCAACGCCGCGUGAGUGAAGAAGGUCUUCGGAUCGUAAAACUCUGUUAUUAGGGAAGAACAAAUGUGUAAGUAACUAUGCACGUCUUGACGGUACCAAAUCAGAAAGCCACGGCUAACUACGUG
RNAcentral lists this ribosomal RNA (497 nucleotides) under uncultured bacterium. Its description in RNAcentral is "partial 16S ribosomal RNA". It matches the Rfam family "Bacterial small subunit ribosomal RNA", at positions 28 to 507 of the family's 1533-position model. The record is from RNAcentral.